GAUGAAGAACGUAGCGAAAUGCGAUAAGUAAUGUGAAUUGCAGAAUUCAGUGAAUCAUCGAAUCUUUGAACGCACAUUGCGCCCCUUGGUAUUCCGGGGGGCAUGCCUGUUCGAGCGUCAUUUCAACCCUCAAGCUCUGCUUGGUAUUGGGCUCCGUCCUCCUCGGACGCGCCUCAAAGACCUCGGCGGUGGCGUCUUGCCUCAAGCGUAGUAGAAACACCUCGCUUUGGAGUGCAUGGCGUCGACCGCCGGACGAAACCGUUUGUAUUUUCUCAAAGGUUGACCUCGGAUCAGGUAGGGAUACCCGCUGAACUUAAGCAUAUCAAUAAGCGGAGGA
Molecule: unclassified non-coding RNA, 337 nt
Filed under: soil metagenome
Description: partial contains 5.8S ribosomal RNA, internal transcribed spacer 2, and large subunit ribosomal RNA
Rfam family: 5.8S ribosomal RNA (bases 1-120)
Source: RNAcentral